AUUGAACGCUGGCGGCAGGCCUAACACAUGCAAGUCGGACGGUAACAGGAAGCAGCUUGCUGCUUCGCUGACGAGUGGCGGACGGGUGAGUAAAGUCUGGGAAACUGCCUGAUGGAGGGGGAUAACUACUGGAAACGGUAGCUAAUACCGCAUAACGUCGCAAGACCAAAGAGGGGGACCUUCGGGCCUCUUGCCAUCAGAUGUGCCCAGAUGGGAUUAGCUAGUAGGUGGGGUAAAGGCUCACCUAGGCGACGAUCCCUAGCUGGUCUGAGAGGAUGACCAGCCACACUGGAACUGAGACACGGUCCAGACUCCUACGGGAGGCAGCAGUGGGGAAUAUUGCACAAUGGGCGCAAGCCUGACGCAGCCAUGCCGCGUGUAUGAAGAAGGCCUUCGGGUUGUAAAGUACUUUCAGCGGGGAGGAAGGCAAUGCGGUUAAUAACCGUGUUGAUUGACGUUACCCGCAGAAGAAGCACCGGCUAACUCCGUGCCAGCCGCCGCAGUAA
This 506-nucleotide ribosomal RNA is filed under the name uncultured bacterium. RNAcentral describes it as "partial 16S ribosomal RNA". It matches the Rfam family "Bacterial small subunit ribosomal RNA", at positions 30 to 523 of the family's 1533-position model. The record is from RNAcentral.